RNAcentral lists this ribosomal RNA (461 nucleotides) under uncultured bacterium. Its description in RNAcentral is "SSU rRNA". It matches the Rfam family "Bacterial small subunit ribosomal RNA", at positions 26 to 523 of the family's 1533-position model. The record is from RNAcentral.
AGGAUGAACGCUGGCGGUGUGCUUAAUACAUGCAAGUCGAGCGGUAAGGCCUCUUCGGAGGUACACGAGCGGCGGACGGCUGAGUAACGCGUAGGAAUCUACCCCGAACUGAGGAAUAAGCACCAGAAAUGGUGUCUAAUGCCGCAUAUGCUCUUAGGAGUAAAGCUUCGGCGGUUUGGGAAGAGCCUGCGUCCGAUUAGCUUGUUGGUAAGGUAACGGCUUACCAAGGCGACGAUCGGUAGCUGGUCUGAGAGGAUGACCAGCCAGACUGGGACUGAGAACGGCCCAGACUCCUACGGGAGGCAGCAGUAGGGAAUUUUCCACAAUGGGCGAGAGCCUGAUGGAGCAACACCGCGUGCAGGAUGAAGGCCUUCGGGUCGUAAACUGCUUUAUCUGUGAUGUAUUUUGACUAGUAGCAGAUGAAUAAGGAUCGGCUAACUCCGUGCCAGCAGCCGCGGUAA